UACGGAGGGGGCGAGCGUUAUUCGGAAUUAUUGGGCGUAAAGGGCGCGUAGGCGGCUUGGUAAGUCAAAGGUGAAAUCCCUCGGCUCAACUGAGGAAUUGCCUUUGAAACUGCCUGGCUCGAGGCCGGGAGGGGGUAGCGGAAUUCCCAGUGUAGCGGUGAAAUGCGUAGAUAUUGGGAGGAGCACCGGUGGCGAAGGCGGCUACCUGGACCGGUUCUGACGCUGAUGCGCGAAAGCCAGGGGAGCAAACGGG
This 253-nucleotide ribosomal RNA is filed under the name uncultured bacterium. RNAcentral describes it as "partial 16S ribosomal RNA". It matches the Rfam family "Bacterial small subunit ribosomal RNA", at positions 524 to 776 of the family's 1533-position model. The record is from RNAcentral.